CCUACGGGUGGCAGCAGUGGGGAAUAUUGGUCAAUGGGGGAAACCCUGAACCAGCAACGCCGCGUGAGGGAUGAAGGCUUUCGGUUUGUAAACCCCUUUUAGUAGGGAAGAAAAUGACGGUACCUGACGAAGAAGCACCGGCUAACUACGUGCCAGCAGCCGGGGUAAUACGCAGGGAGCAAGCGUUAUCCGGAAUUACUGGGCGUAAAGGGAGCGUAGAGGGGAGGGCAAGUCAGGAGUGAAAUGCUAGGGCCCAACCCUAGAACUGCAGUUGAAACUGUUAACCUGGAGUGCGGGAGAGGUAGGCGGAAUGCGUGGUGUAGCGGUGAAAUGCAUAGAUAUCACGAAGAACUCCGAUUGCGAAGGCAGCUUACUGGACUGUAACUGACGCUGAUGCUCGAAGGCGUGGGUAUCGAACAGGAUUAGAUACCCGGGUAGUC
Molecule: ribosomal RNA, 440 nt
Filed under: uncultured bacterium
Lineage: Bacteria
Description: partial 16S ribosomal RNA
Rfam family: Bacterial small subunit ribosomal RNA
Source: RNAcentral